Molecule: ribosomal RNA, 490 nt
Filed under: uncultured bacterium
Lineage: Bacteria
Description: partial 16S ribosomal RNA
Rfam family: Bacterial small subunit ribosomal RNA
Source: RNAcentral
AUUGAACGCUGGCGGCAGGCCUAACACAUGCAAGUCGAACGGUAACAGGAAGAAGCUUGCUUCUUUGCUGACGAGUGGCGGACGGGUGAGUAAUGUCUGGGAAACUGCCUGAUGGAGGGGGAUAACUACUGGAAACGGUAGCUAAUACCGCAUAACGUCGCAAGACCAAAGAGGGGGACCUUCUGGCCUCUUGCCAUCGGAUGUGCCCAGAUGGGAUUCGCUAGUAGGUGGGGUAACGGCUCACCUAGGCGACGAUCCCUAGCUGGUCUGAGAGGAUGACCAGCCACACUGGAACUGAGACACGGUCAAGACUCCUACGGGAGGCAGCAGUGGGGAAUAUUGCACAAUGGGCGCAAGCCUGAUGCAGCCAUGCCGCGUGUAUGAAGAAGGCCUUCGGGUUGUAAAGUACUUUCAGCGGGGAGGAAGGGAGUAAAGUUAAUACCUUUGCUCAUUGACGUUACCCGCAGAAGAAGCACCGGCUAACUCCGUG